GGGGGUUGGACUAGAUGACCUUCAAAGGUCUCUUCCAACCCAAACCGUUCUACAAUUCUAUGAACAUGGGAUUCAAGGACUUGGAAGGAACUUCUGUGAUCAUGCUGCUCCUCAUGUAGAUGGACCUGACCCAGGCUGCACACCAGAUAACACUACUAAGUAGACGAUUUAGAAACCUGAUAAUUUGGCUUGAGGCAUCAGAGUUAAACAUCUGAAGAACAGCUGACAGACUAGCAAAUACCGUGGUAUGACAUAGCCUAUUUUAACAUAACACAGGCAUGCAUUAUUUGCUGUUAAAUUAGAUUUUACUGUCGGUUAACUA
Molecule: long non-coding RNA, 322 nt
Organism: Tyto alba (common barn owl)
Lineage: Eukaryota; Metazoa; Chordata; Aves; Strigiformes; Tytonidae
Exons: 2
Source: RefSeq, a predicted model, not a curated record